UGGAGAAGAGCGAGCAAAGAGCCGGAGGCACACCAUCGCAGGCUCGUCGUGAGUGUUAUCCAUUGCCUUUCCGCACACGGAUUGAGCCAGUACUUCAGUGGUUGCCAAGGUUCGACGUGCUUCAACAGCUGCCUCUCCGCAGGCGUACCCGGAGCAGCAAUGCACUUUGCCUGGCCGGCAGGUUGGUGCCCGGUGCAAGCCCAACGAGAGAGCGACCUUUGGUCAGAAGGGGCCUGCAGGAGUAAUCAGGUUUCUGGAGUGUGCCCGCGGAGGGUUUCCGUGAGAAAGAACUGAUCUUCACCAUGUAUGCGGGUGCAAGGUGUUCGAUGAAAUGCGUGAGUGGACACUUAAUGUUCUCAACGGCAGGGAGUCAUCCAUCGUGUUUGUGAUCUUGUACCGUUGCACGCUUUGACCGGUUUUGCUAUGCAUAUAGCAAUCAUCUUCUUCAAGGUGUUGCGUGGCAAACGAAGCAAGUGCAGCUGCAGAGUUGGGUCCCUCUGGCAGGCUACAAGCGUGACCAUCGAAGGGAAGUCAAUCAGAGGAUCUUCACAGGCAGAGGAUCCUAGACCGCCCAAGAGGUUUUGACUGAGGAAGCAAAUAUUAUUGCUUAUGCUUGAGUGUGGC
This is a long non-coding RNA of Triticum dicoccoides, 624 nucleotides long. RefSeq lists it as uncharacterized. NCBI's taxonomy places the organism in Eukaryota, Viridiplantae, Streptophyta, Magnoliopsida, Poales, Poaceae. The record is from RefSeq and is a predicted model, not a curated record. The transcript has 3 exons.